CGAACGCUGGCGGCGUGCCUAAUACAUGCAAGUCGAGCGGACUGAUUAAGAGCUUGCUCUUAUGACGUUAGCGGCGGACGGGUGAGUAACACGUGGGCAACCUGCCCUGUAGAUCGGGAUAACACCGAGAAAUCGGUGCUAAUACCGGGUAAUAUCUGAGAUCACAUGAUCUUAGGUUAAAAGAUGGCUCCGGCUAUCACUACAGGAUGGGCCCGCGGCGCAUUAGCUAGUUGGUAAGGUAAUGGCUUACCAAGGCGACGAUGCGUAGCCGACCUGAGAGGGUGAUCGGCCACACUGGGACUGAGACACGGCCCAGACUCCUACGGGAGGCAGCAGUAGGGAAUCUUCCGCAAUGGACGAAAGUCUGACGGAGCAACGCCGCGUGAGUGAUGAAGGGUUUCGGCUCGUAAAGCUCUGUUGUUAGGGAAGAAACAGUACCGAACGAACUAGGUCGGUACCUUGACGGUACCUAACCAGAAAGCCACGGCUAACUACGUA
RNAcentral lists this ribosomal RNA (498 nucleotides) under uncultured bacterium. RNAcentral describes it as "partial 16S ribosomal RNA". It matches the Rfam family "Bacterial small subunit ribosomal RNA", at positions 30 to 507 of the family's 1533-position model. The record is from RNAcentral.